This 258-nucleotide ribosomal RNA is filed under the name uncultured bacterium. RNAcentral describes it as "partial 16S ribosomal RNA". It matches the Rfam family "Bacterial small subunit ribosomal RNA", at positions 335 to 607 of the family's 1533-position model. The record is from RNAcentral.
UUGCCUACGGGGCGCAGCAGUGGGGAAUAUUGCACAAUGGGCGAAAGCCUGAUGCAGCAACGCCGCGUGAAGGAAGAAGGGUUUCGGCUCGUAAACUUCUAUCAACAGGGACGAAAGAAAUGACGGUACCUGAAUAAGAAGCCCCGGCUAACUACGUGCCCGCAGCCGCGGGAAUACGUAGGGGGCAAACGUUAUCCGGAAUUACUUGGGGUAAAGGGUGAGUAGGCGGCAUGGUAAGCCAGAUGUGAAAGCCUUGGG